RNAcentral lists this ribosomal RNA (835 nucleotides) under Cystinarius eutactus. Its description in RNAcentral is "Cortinarius eutactus partial large subunit ribosomal RNA". It matches the Rfam family "Eukaryotic large subunit ribosomal RNA", at positions 87 to 909 of the family's 3401-position model. Lineage: Eukaryota; Fungi; Basidiomycota; Agaricomycetes; Agaricales; Cortinariaceae. The record is from RNAcentral.
CUGCGAGUGAGCGGGAAAAGCUCAAAUUUAAAAUCUGGCAGUCUUUGGCUGUCGAGUUGUAAUCUAGAGAAGUGUUAUCCGCGCUGGACCGUGUACAAGUCUCCUGGAAUGGAGCGUCAUAGAGGGUGAGAAUCCCGUCUUUGACACGGACUGCCAGGGCUUUGUGAUGCGCUCUCAAAGAGUCGAGUUGUUUGGGAAUGCAGCUCAAAAUGGGUGGUAAAUUCCAUCUAAAGCUAAAUAUUGGCGAGAGACCGAUAGCGAACAAGUACCGUGAGGGAAAGAUGAAAAGAACUUUGGAAAGAGAGUUAAACAGUACGUGAAAUUGCUGAAAGGGAAACGCUUGAAGUCAGUCGCGUUGUCCAGGGAUCAACCUUGCUUUUGCUUGGUGUACUUUCUGGUUGACGGGUCAGCAUCAAUUUUGACUAUUGGAAAAAUUUCAAGGGAAUGUGGCAUCUUCGGGUGUGUUAUAGCCCUUUUUUGUAUACAAUGGUUAGGAUUGAGGAACUCAGCACGCCGCAAGGCCGGGUUUUUAACCACGUACGUGCUUAGGAUGCUGGCAUAUUGGCUUUAAUCGACCCGUCUUGAAACACGGACCAAGGAGUCUAACAUACCUGCGAGUGUUUGGGUGGAAAACCCGAGCGCGCAAUGAAAGUGAAAAGUUGAGAUCCCUGUCAUGGGGAGCAUCGACGCCCGGACCAGACCUUUUGUGACGGCUCCGCGGUAGAGCAUGUAUGUUGGGACCCGAAAGAUGGUGAACUAUGCCUGAAUAGGGUGAAGCCAGAGGAAACUCUGGUGGAGGCUCGUAGCGAUUCUGACGUGCAAAUCGAUCGUCAAA